RNAcentral lists this long non-coding RNA (921 nucleotides) under Rhinopithecus bieti (black snub-nosed monkey). RNAcentral describes it as "lncRNA (ENSRBIG00000045958.1)". The record is from RNAcentral. Lineage: Eukaryota; Metazoa; Chordata; Mammalia; Primates; Cercopithecidae.
GGCCCCAGCCCGGCCCCCAGUAGGGAGAUGGCGUCCUACGUAGAUAACAGCUUCCGCCAGGCGGUGAUGAAGAACCCCCCUGAGAGGACCCCCCAGGAUCUGGAAAUAGUAUAUUCCUAUUUACAUGGUAUGGAAGCCUUGUCAAACUUGAGGGAGCAUCAACUUAGGUUAAUGUGUGAAACUGUGAGAUAUGAGAGACACGAAGCAAAUGAAGUUUUAUACUACCCCGAUGAUAUUGGGACCUGCUGGUAUAUCCUUCUUUCUGGUUCUGUGUUCAUCAAGGAAUCCAUGUUUCUUCCAAGAAGCAGCUUCUGGUUUGUGAGCUAAGAGCACAUCAUCUCUGUGAGAGAGCUCAGAGACUUUGUCACUCAUCAGGCCUAUCGUGUGCACUCAUGACCUACUCUUUGGCUCCUUUGAGGCUGCUCUUCCUUUCCGCAUUCCUGGCUGUGUUUGAAAAAAUAGAUUGUUGAAUAAAUGAAGUAAUAUAUUCUCCCUUGCUAAUAUGUGUUCUGUGCACAUUGCUUUUUCCGUUCAGCUUUUUCAAUAAAUACAUCUGAUGGAGAGUCUGCAGUUUCUCGUGUUCAUAUCUUUGUGACGCUUUGUGGAACUCGAGUCUUUUGUGAUUGAAAAGUUUCAUCAGGCUCUAGUGCAACUGACUCUCUGAAAAACUCUCAUGGAAAUAUUUUUAUAGAGCACAUUUUAGGAAAUGUAAACUUUUCAUCCCCAAAGUAAUAGUGUGCUAGUGCAACUUGAAGUGUGACUUCCUAGCCAUAAAGUUCUGUUGAAUGAAUGACUAAUUGGUAAGAGGAUUUGCACCCUAAAUCCUGGAGUGGGGAAGAUGGUACUAUAUUUAUAUAUAAAAUAAUUAACAGUUAUAUAGUUUAUUUAUGUGAACAUUAACACCUUUUGUUGCUAAAAUUU